UACGGGGGGGGCAAGCGUUGUUCGGAAUUACUGGGCGUAAAGGGCGCGUAGGCGGCCAACUAAGUCGGACGUGAAAUCCCUCGGCUUAACCGGGGAACUGCGUCCGAUACUGGAUGGCUUGAGUUUGGGAGAGGGAUGCGGAAUUCCAGGUGUAGUGGUGAAAUGCGUAGAUAUCUGGAGGAACACCGGUGGCGAAGGCGGCAUCCUGGACCAAUACUGACGCUGAGGCGCGAAAGCCAGGGGAGCAAACGGG
This 253-nucleotide ribosomal RNA is filed under the name uncultured bacterium. RNAcentral describes it as "partial 16S ribosomal RNA". It matches the Rfam family "Bacterial small subunit ribosomal RNA", at positions 524 to 776 of the family's 1533-position model. The record is from RNAcentral.